Small nucleolar RNA from Nannospalax galili (Upper Galilee mountains blind mole rat), 65 nucleotides. The record is from RefSeq and is a predicted model, not a curated record. NCBI's taxonomy places the organism in Eukaryota, Metazoa, Chordata, Mammalia, Rodentia, Spalacidae.
AUAAAAAGUUAGGUUCGUACCACCCCAGUCUGAUAACUGUGAUGAAAGGUAUUAUCUGAGUUGUG